GAGAAUAUAUAACAACAAGUAAAAGAAUGACAAACAGCAAUUGCAAUUGGCCCAAAGCAAAAUCACCAAAACCUAAACUACAUUCUGAUCUCUUCGGCCGCCAAUCCCAUCCCCACUUUCCCAAUUCUUUCUUCAACCAUGGUUAGACUAAAAAAUGCGAGAACGACAGAGAAGAAGAGUGAGAGAGAACCCCAUAACUUCUCUAUUCUUGAGCAGAAGAGGUAAGCUCGUAUCUCUAUAUUUUACGGUUUGUGAGUUUUCUCAUACCUACUUGACAUGAAUUUUUGGUUUUAAUUUUGCGAAUUAUUCAGCAAUUUAAUAUUCUGCCCUAUUUUUGAUAUAUAGUGAGUGAAAAUUUGAAGAUUUUAAAGUGGUAAUUUUGGGAGGAGCCAUAGUUCAUGGACUGUAACAGCAAAGCAACAUUAGAAAAUUGGGAUGAAGAUCCUUUAAGAAGUUUAAAAAGUCUACAGGUUUUUUUAAUUCUUUUGUUGCUUUGUACUUUUCUAUUUUGUUAUCUGUUAAAAAUUCUUGUAAAAGAAUUAUCAAGAAAUAUUUCUUGUCUUAUUGAUAUUCUAUUAAUAUUUUUACUAAUCGAACUUGCAUCUUUGUAUUGAAGUUGAAACUCAAUUGUACCUGUUAAAUAUUCAGUGAACUCAUACAAUUGUCAAAUGUUGCCUUCUCCGACUAAAAUACAUCUUUUGGCCAAAAAUAAUUAAUCCAUUUCAGUUAAAAUUUUAGUCUAGUGCCAGAUAGCAUGAUUCGCCUCCAAUUACAAAGUGAUUUGUAACUUAGAAAGCACUAAUGCGACUCGGUUAAGGUUAAUUAAAUUGCAGUACCGCCUUCUUAGUCUUUGCAAGCAAUAUGUCUUUUGCUUCAUUAAUUUUUGAAGCAAUGUAGUGGCUACCUCUUGCAUAUAUGAUCAGUUAUUUUUUGCUUUGAUGUGUUAAAAUACUUUAUCGUUGACAGGCAGAUUUGUGAAGUUAGAGCAGCAAUGACAAGUUAAGACUAAAGCUAAGGUGCAGUUAAGUCGGUGCUACUUAGGGAAGAGAGAAAGGAGAAGACGAUGCUACUUUGUGUCUCAAGCAAGAUGGUGUUGUAGAAGACUUGCGUAUCGUGUUCUAAGCUACAUUGUAACAAUUCUUAUAUGUAUCUAUUUUGGAAUCUAAAAUAUUUGAAAUUUUAGCUGCAGGAUAAAAUUCUUGUGACCAAUUAUUUUGAAGCAAAUUCUUCAAUUAUAGCAAUAGAAAUUUAGAAUUCGGGGCUACACAUUUAUAUAAUUGAUGGUUAAUUUUUUCACUUUCCGUAGCAAAUGUUAAUUCUAUAUAUUUUAUGGCAAAAAGAAUGAAUUCUUAGUUACAUACCAAAAAGUUUGUGGC
RNAcentral lists this long non-coding RNA (1376 nucleotides) under Nicotiana tabacum (common tobacco). RNAcentral describes it as "long non-coding RNA (NTAB_LNC016759)". Lineage: Eukaryota; Viridiplantae; Streptophyta; Magnoliopsida; Solanales; Solanaceae. The record is from RNAcentral.